Molecule: long non-coding RNA, 3668 nt
Filed under: Manihot esculenta (cassava)
Lineage: Eukaryota; Viridiplantae; Streptophyta; Magnoliopsida; Malpighiales; Euphorbiaceae
Description: long non-coding RNA (MESC_LNC007105)
Source: RNAcentral
AUUUUCAAUUUUUGUGGUUCAUAAUCUUGAUGCUGAAUCUUAUGGUGAAAUUUAUUGAUAGAGUUAGGGAAAAUAAUCUGUAAAUUAUGAAAGAGCGAAAGCAACAAAGUUUGGCAAUGAAGGCUUGUAUUCGUUUUCUUUCAAUAAUAACAGAACAGUAGAUAUUGGCUCCCUUCCACUACCAGUAUAACACAAGACGAAAGGGAAAAAAAACAUGAAAGAGCAAAGAUAUGACUGAAACAGUCCCCAGAGUAAAUGUCCUCCCGUGCAGAGAAGAAAUUCUGCCCCAAUGAAUUCUUGAUAGCCAAAAAGAUGCCUCCCAACCUUGCCUGAUCCCCCUUAUAUUCUGGAGGUGAAUCUUCUGCUCAAACCCAUUUUUGACAGGUGUUCUUUGUACCCUUUAAUGUACCUCAGCAAUUUCCACACCAGGAGAAUUAGUUCUUCCCUUGAUUCUUUCUUGUCCUUCCUCCUAGAAUAGACCUGAAAAGGCCUAAAUGAAUUCUCUGAUUUGUCUUGGUCCUUCUCUGCUUUUCUUGGGCUGCACUGCAAACUAUAUCUUGGGCUUCUCUAUCAUAUAUUCAUCUAAUAACAAAGAUAAUUUGGACAGGAAAAAGGCAUACAAUUUUAAGACAUUAAUGCGUUAACUUAAUAUCUGCUGCCUAAAGUUUGUUUUUUAAUUUUUAAUAAUCCAAACAUUUGUUGAUUUAAAAUUUUCUCGAGUUAGUUUGGUUCGCUUUUACCAUCAAGAUUAUUUGAGCAUGAAUGACCCAGUAGCAUUUGUAUGUUUGGUACUUUUACCAUGAUUUUGGAUAUUUUAUUUUUUAAAUUUAAGGGUUGAUUAAUUUCAUCAACUGCAUGGAAAUGAUUAAGACUUAGUGAAAGUAUAAAUAUUUUGCGAAGAACUGUGUCAAUUUUGUGGAUUGGUUCUUUUUUUCUAUUUGCCUAUUAGAUGUCUAGUGGAAACAGAAUCGUGUUUGCAUGGAAUUUUUUUUAUUAUUCUCUUUUGGAUCUAAUAAAUAUUGAUUAAUGCAUUCCUUGUCUUAUUUUUGAAUAAUGAUGCUUCUGCAAGUAGAUCUGUAGAUGUUUUUGUGAUGUCUAGUUAGCGAAGGUACUAUAAUUGAUUUCUAUUGCAAAAUUCAUGGAUUUUGUUUAACUGUGGUGAUAAUGUGUCAGUAGAGCAGAGUUCUUAAUCACGGAAAUUAGGGAGAAAUAGAGAAAGAUUAGGAAGAAGGAAUAGAAGAAGAUAUAAAGAAGAAAAUUUGCAUUGAUAUUGAUUCUUGAAUGAGGUAUACAGGCUUCCCUUCAUUUUAUACACAAUCUAUUGUUGGUAACUGUCAAACAGACAUACUAACUGAUUACAGCAGAUUCCAUAAUAGUUCUAUAACUACUUCCUUCUUCUCUAUUGAUACUUAUAUCACUGCUCCAAGAAAUUGCAAUGUCUAUCAAGGUUUUCAGGAGCUCAGUAAUUUUCCAUGUACUGGAAAGGCAAUUCUGUAGCAUGCAAGAACCUCAUUAAGGCCUUGACAGAAAUUGUGGUGUUCCUGCACAAUAUUGAAAUGCUCAAGAGAUUCUGAAAUUUUUCCUAUAAAAUAAAGUUACGUUCAUUAUCAUCUUUAUUACCAGAAUCAAUAGUAGCACAACCAAUAAUAUCAACCUCUUUCUCUUCUCCAUCAGCAACAACAUCAACCUCUUCCUUUUCUCCAUUACCAAUAAUAUCAACCUCUUCCUCUUCUCCAUCACCAACAAUAUCAAUUAUCAUCUUUACUACCAGAAUCAAUAAUAGCACAACCAAUAAUAUCAACCUCUUCCUCUUGUCCAUCAGCAACAACAUCAACCUCUUCCUUUUCUCCAUUACCAAUAAUAUCAACCUCUUCCUCGUCUCCAUCACCAACAAUAUCAAUUAUCAACUUCUUCCUCCUCUCCAAUAUCUUGAAUUGCAAUUCCACAAUCAUUUUCUUUUAUAGGCUUCAGGAAUGGACUAUAUUCUGGUACAGAUCUAAAGAUUGCAACAUUUCCCAUUUUCAUUUGGAUUUGUUCACCUAAUUUUUUCAAUCUUUGACCCUAUUCUUUUAGCAUCUCAUUUUGUCUUUAAAGUCCUCUAUCUAAAACUAAGAUACAAUAUUUCUCUUUUCUAAAGUUAUUGUCCAUAGUUGGUUUACUUGAUUGUGUUCAGAUUCUGGUUCUGAAAGAACAAAAAUUUCAAGGAUUCCUAGAAGCAGGUUAUUGAGAUGCUGGAAGUGGAAGAAAAGAAUAGAGGAAAACAGAAAGCAACAGAAGAAAGAAUAUGCUUCAAGAAUUUAAGAAAGAAAAGAGUUUUCAUAUGAAAUAAAGGAGUGCAAAAACAUGGUUUUGCCAAGAAGAAGGAAUAGAACAAGAACAGAAGGAAAACAAAGGGAAGAAAAUUCAGGGAAAGAAAGAAUACGAAUGAGGAGGGAGAAGAAGAAGAAGAAGAAGAAGAAGAGAAAUAGAGAAAAGAAUAGAAGAAUAAGAAGAAAAAGAAGAAGGAGAAGGAGAAACCGGUAACUUGGGAAGACUGCUACUGAUCUGCACCUGAUUGCGACUCCCAGAAAUUCAUGUUGGAGGAAACCCAUUCUCCAGCGGAGCUCUGAUACCUAUUGUCAUAUAUCAAAAUUCUUAGUCACAGAAAUCGGGGAGAAAUAGAGAAAGAUUAGGAAAAAGGAAUAAGACAAGAUAGAAAGAAAAAACAAUCUGCAUUGAAUUGAUUCUUGAAUGAGGAGUACAUGUGCCUUCUCUUCAUUUUAUACCCAAUCUACUAUUAGUAACUAUCACACACAUACUAACUUACAAUAGAUCUCAUAACAGUUUUAUAACUACUUCCUCCCUCUCUAUUGAUACUUAUAUUUCCCUCACUAAUUCAUUAACUACUCUACUCCCUAGUCAUAACAAAAUGGUAAGUGGUGGGCAAAGAAAUUGGAAAAGUGAACUACAAGCUUGAAACCAAGAGAAUCAAGCUAGAAAAUUCUCAUCUUAACUAGUAGAUCCUGCGUUUAGCAUUUGUUUUGGGAAAACUAUGUAUUUUUGUCCUGAUUAGAUGCUAUUUUUUCUUACUAAAAACUCUAUUAUUUAGGUUUGAUUAAUAUUUUGAAUUAGAUUUAAAUAACAAAAUUGAUUUUUUUCUCUCGGAACAAUAGUAGAACGAAUUUCCAACUAGAACAACUCGAUUUGAUCUAAAUAAAAAUUGGUUUGAUUGGUUAGGUUUUAAUUUUAUAAUUUCUUGAACCAAACCCUUUACUUCACGAUUUGGUUACACCCUGUAAAUUAUAUCAUAUAUGAAACUGUUGAAAAAUUAAGAAUAUGGGAUCUUCUAGAUUGCCUAUGAAAUUUGGGGGUUUAUAAAUGUGGUAUCCAAUGGGAUGGAAUGGCUCUAAAAUGACCAAAUCAUGUUUAUGUGAUCAGAUCGAGUUGACCAACUUGUGCUUCUUUAUUACAAAACUAAUUAAGGUGUGCAAUAGGUAAAAAAUAAAAGACAGGAGUUUCUCCCAAAAUGAAAAAAAAGGUGUGCAAUGCAUCAAAAUAAAAGAUGGGUGUGAACUAGAUAUUUUCCAUGUAGCAAAAGGGCUAACCUAGGCCAAGGCAAUAUUGAUCUUGUUCAAUUGCAUUUAUCAUCUUAUAAAUAAUUCUAACAUCUUGUUGCUUUUCAUUGCAAG